AUUGAACGCUGGCGGCAUGCCUUACACAUGCAAGUCGAACGGUAACGAGCCUUCGGGUGCCGACGAGUGGCGAACGGGUGCGUAAUACAUCGGAACGUGCCCGAUCGUGGGGGAUAACGAGGCGAAAGCUUUGCUAAUACCGCAUACGAUCUACGGAUGAAAGCAGGGGACCGCAAGGCCUUGCGCGGACGGAGCGGCCGAUGGCAGAUUAGGUAGUUGGUGGGAUAAAAGCUUACCAAGCCGACGAUCUGUAGCUGGUCUGAGAGGAUGAUCAGCCACACUGGGACUGAGACACGGCCCAGACUCCUACGGGAGGCAGCAGUGGGGAAUUUUGGACAAUGGGCGCAAGCCUGAUCCAGCCAUGCCGCGUGCAGGAUGAAGGCCUUCGGGUUGUAAACUGCUUUUGCACGGAACGAAAAGCCUUCUUUUAAUACAGGAGGGUCAUGACGGUACCGUAAGAAUAAGCACCGGCUAACUACGUG
This 482-nucleotide ribosomal RNA is filed under the name uncultured bacterium. RNAcentral describes it as "partial 16S ribosomal RNA". It matches the Rfam family "Bacterial small subunit ribosomal RNA", at positions 30 to 507 of the family's 1533-position model. The record is from RNAcentral.